This is a long non-coding RNA of Oncorhynchus tshawytscha (Chinook salmon), 515 nucleotides long. NCBI's taxonomy places the organism in Eukaryota, Metazoa, Chordata, Actinopteri, Salmoniformes, Salmonidae. The record is from Ensembl.
CGUCUUCCACCUGGGAGGGACUCUAUCGGCCGGUCUUUGGCUGGUGUUCUGAUGGAUGUUCCCUCCCGACCCAAGUGGAUUUGCCUCUAUCGGGGGAGCCCCUUUCGGAAACGUUUGCCCCCUAUUUCGAUACGCUCCAGCCGCGCAAAGUUCGUGCGAGGUCGAGCCGAACUGUCUGACCAAGUGGCCCUCCAUUGGUGUUCCGGUGCGGGGAGUGGCACACUCAGGCUGCGAAGCAUGUGGUGAUGGUCAUCCCGUAACGCAUCGGCGCCAGAAACACGUAUUCUCAAACCCUGUCUUUAAACGUGGACCUACCCGGUUGACCCAAGCGGUCUAUCCGAGGUUGUGGUUCCUUUUGCCCAGUUGAUGGCGUUCCGAAUAGGCGCUCCAGCUAGACAAGAGACCUCUCGAGCGGCGCCCGGCACCUGUGGCUCCGGCCAUGGGCAUGCCAGGGCCUCCUCCCCUGACGGGAUAGGAUCGGUCCCUGGUGUUGUUUGCUUCGAGUGCCCAGGUAC